Molecule: small RNA, 16 nt
Filed under: Arabidopsis thaliana (thale cress)
Lineage: Eukaryota; Viridiplantae; Streptophyta; Magnoliopsida; Brassicales; Brassicaceae
Description: ATSL149090
Source: RNAcentral
AUUCUCCUGCCGCCUC